RNAcentral lists this long non-coding RNA (1018 nucleotides) under Cervus hanglu yarkandensis (Yarkand deer). RNAcentral's name for it is "lncRNA (ENSCHYG00000014645.1)". Lineage: Eukaryota; Metazoa; Chordata; Mammalia; Artiodactyla; Cervidae. The record is from RNAcentral.
GGUCUCCGCCCUAGCCAAUCGGCACCUUCCACUCUCCCGGUGGGACCAAUCAGCGGCUGCCGGGAACCCGGGCUGUCGCCAUGGCAGCAAGGAGGCGGGAGCGCGCCGUGGGUAGAAGUACAGAGCAGAGCCGGCGGCUGGGGGCUUUAGAGGCCAGCCUGUUCCCUGCAAGCGUUCAGCAGGCGGAGCCUUGCGCUUGGAGACCCGGCUUCGCAAAACUGGCGGCCUCGAGGCUGAUGCUCACCACAUCCCGCGACACCGAGCUAAGCUAGGCCGGUGAAUCCUGCUCUUCUACCGGUUCUGUUAAGCCGGCAGCCGCUGACAGCAGGAGAGGAGAAAGUUCGUGCCAGUUGCGGUAUUGUGUUCUCUAAGUGACAAAUCUUUAGAUGUGAGAUGGUGGUAUGGAGUUUGAGAAAGACGGUACUGUCUUGUUGCACCUGCUAAAUGGUAACUGAGUGACUAAAUAUGCUUAUUGUUGUGGUUGGUUCUGGGCAGUGGUUUUGGAUGACAAUUAUUUUUAUAAAGUCAAGCAAGAGAGGAAAUAUGAACUUGAACCAUUGAACCAUUCUCGUUUCUUGGAGACAGAAACCUCUUGAAAGUCUCAGAGUGUCUACUAAACUGCUAAACUGGAUACUGUCCAUUUACACAAUUGAAUAAGAAUGGUGCCAUCUAAGCCUUUUAGUAAAGCUAUUAAAUCCGUGGGUGAAUAUGAACACCAAACUAUGUAUUACUUUGGUUAGAAAAGGGAGAAGGAGGGAGAAGAGAGGUUAAAUGCAAUUAUAUCUGAUUGUCAAUUUUGUUUGAAGGAAAUUGUGGACUUUCCUUAUAAGAACUGAAUUGAUGAGAUGGUUGCUUUAAGGAAUGGAUGAAAAAUAAUAUGAUUAGUGGUAUAAUAGAUUUGGAUCGGGUAGCUUAUAGUGUUUUUUUUUUUUUUUUUUUUUUUGCAGCCUGCUUAAAUUCCUUGUUUCUUAAGAUCCUCCCUCAUAAAUUUGAUUGAAUUGUGUGAGACAGUCUCCAG